This 471-nucleotide ribosomal RNA is filed under the name uncultured bacterium. RNAcentral describes it as "SSU rRNA". It matches the Rfam family "Bacterial small subunit ribosomal RNA", at positions 26 to 518 of the family's 1533-position model. The record is from RNAcentral.
AGGACGAACGCUGGCGGCGUGCUUAACACAUGCAAGUCGAGCGGAAAGGCCCUUCGGGGUACUCGAGCGGCGAACGGGUGAGUAACACGUGAGCAACCUGCCCCUGGCUCUGGGAUAGCCUCCGGAAAACGGGGAUUAAUACCGGACAUUCUCCUCCUUCCGCAUGGUUGGGGGUGGAAAGUUUUUCGGCCAGGGAGGGGCUCGCGGCCUAUCAGCUUGUUGGCGGGGUAACGGCCCACCAAGGCGACGACGGGUAGCCGGCCUGAGAGGGCGACCGGCCACACUGGGACUGAGACACGGCCCAGACUCCUACGGGAGGCAGCAGUGGGGAAUAUUGCGCAAUGGGCGAAAGCCUGACGCAGCGACGCCGCGUGGGGGAUGAAGGCCUCGGGUUGUAAACCCCUUUCACCAGGAGCGAAUCAAGACGGUACCUGGGGAAGAAGCGCCGGCUAACUACGCGCCAGCAGCCGC